CGUAGGCAGCGAGCGUUGUUCGGAGUUACUGGGCGUAAAGAGUGCGUAGGCGGUUUUCUAAGUUUGGUGUGAAAUCUCCCGGCUCAACUGGGAGGGUGGCGCCGAAGACUGGGAGGCUAGAGUAUGGGAGAGGUAAGCGGAAUUCCUGGUGUAGCGGUGAAAUGCGUAGAUAUCAGGAGGAACACCAGCGGUGUAGACGGCUUACUGGACCAUCACUGACGCUGAGGCACGAAAGCGUGGGUAGCAAACAGGAUU
This 255-nucleotide ribosomal RNA is filed under the name uncultured bacterium. Its description in RNAcentral is "partial 16S ribosomal RNA". It matches the Rfam family "Bacterial small subunit ribosomal RNA", at positions 526 to 779 of the family's 1533-position model. The record is from RNAcentral.